AGAGAGAGACAUGCGCGCAUAUCAAUAAGCGGAGGAAAAGAAACUAACAAGGAUUCCCUUAGUAACGGCGAGUGAAGCGGGAAGAGCUCAAAUUUGAAAUCUUCAAGGUUUUACCUUGACGAAUUGUAGUUUAAAGAAGUGUUUUCUGCUGAAGUUUUGGUAAAAGUUCUUUGGAAUAGGACAUCAUAGAGGGUGAGAAUCCCGUAUUUGACCAUUAUUUUCAGCUUUGUGAUACACUUUCAAAGAGUCGGAUUGUUUGGGAAUGCAGUCCAAAAUGGGUGGUAAAUUUCAUCUAAAGCUAAAUAUUGGCGAGAGACCGAUAGCGAACAAGUACCGUGAGGGAAAGAUGAAAGGAACUUUGAAAAGAGAGUUAAACAGUACGUGAAAUUGUCAAAAGGGAAGCGUUUGACACCAGUGUUGUUUUCUCGAAAAUCAAUUAAAAAUGGCUCGAUUUUGUAUUGCUGAGACCUUAAAAGCUCACUGUACAUUUUUCGUGUCUUUUUUAAUGCACUUUUCGUUUAACAAGUCAACAUCAGUUUCUUUUGUUGUAAAAGGGUCAUUGGAAGGUGGCUUUCUUUUCGGAGAAAGUGUUUAUAGCCUUUGGCCUCUGCAAUCGAAGAGACUGAGGUCUGCAGCGUAGACUCUUCGGGGUUAGAUACAUUUGUGCUAAGUUAUAGCUUUUUAUAGACAACUUGUUGACUAUAAUUAGUCUUGUAGCAUUACUCGCUUAUGCUAUUUUACCUACGCUUAGGAUGUUGAAGAUGUAGCACAUCAU
Molecule: ribosomal RNA, 775 nt
Filed under: uncultured Neocallimastigales
Lineage: Eukaryota; Fungi; Neocallimastigomycota; Neocallimastigomycetes; Neocallimastigales
Description: partial large subunit ribosomal RNA
Rfam family: Eukaryotic large subunit ribosomal RNA
Source: RNAcentral